Long non-coding RNA from Hibiscus syriacus, 158 nucleotides. RefSeq lists it as uncharacterized. The transcript is spliced from 3 exons. The record is from RefSeq and is a predicted model, not a curated record. Lineage: Eukaryota; Viridiplantae; Streptophyta; Magnoliopsida; Malvales; Malvaceae.
AUCUUUUUGCGUUCUUUGUCUUUUCCAAAUCUCAGAACUGAAAACCCAGAUUUUGUUUUUGAUUCUUUUGCUGAAUUUUGAUCUGGGUUUUGUUUAAUCUUGUGAUUUUCUCAUCUGUUUCGAGAUGGCUCCGAGUUCAGUUGUGGUUACCAUUGAGA